RNAcentral lists this ribosomal RNA (253 nucleotides) under uncultured bacterium. RNAcentral's name for it is "partial 16S ribosomal RNA". It matches the Rfam family "Bacterial small subunit ribosomal RNA", at positions 524 to 776 of the family's 1533-position model. The record is from RNAcentral.
GACGAACCGUGCGAACGUUAUUCGGAAUCACUGGGCUUAAAGGGCGCGUAGGCGGGUCGGUAAGUCAGGGGUGAAAUCCCACGGCCCAACCGUGGAAGUGCCUCUGAUACUGCCGGCCUCGAGGGGGGUAGGGGCGUGCGGAACUUCCGGUGGAGCGGUGAAAUGCGUUGAUAUCCAUAGGAACUCCGGUGGCGAAAGCGGUGUGCUGGAUCCCUUCUGACGCUGAGGCGCGAAAGCCAGGGGAGCGAACGGG